Molecule: small nuclear RNA, 122 nt
Filed under: Dermacentor silvarum
Lineage: Eukaryota; Metazoa; Arthropoda; Arachnida; Ixodida; Ixodidae
Description: U5 spliceosomal RNA
Rfam family: U5 spliceosomal RNA
About the family: U5 RNA is a component of both types of known spliceosome. The precise function of this molecule is unknown, though it is known that the 5' loop is required for splice site selection and p220 binding, and that both the 3' stem-loop and the Sm site are important for Sm protein binding and cap methylation.
Source: RNAcentral
UCGCUCAGGCCUCUCCUCAUAUAGACGCACUAAUAUUUCGCGUUUUACUGAAGAUUACCGUGGGGAGGGGCGUGCAAAUGAGCCUAUAGGCCAAUUUUACAGCGAAGCAGUAUACCUCUCGU